GGUAAGGUGGCUGAGUUUUAAGCGGUGGAUUGUAGCCCCACAGACAGAGGUUCAAGCCCUCUUCUUAUCA
This 70-nucleotide transfer RNA is filed under the name Lateolabrax maculatus (spotted sea bass). Its description in RNAcentral is "tRNA-Tyr". It matches the Rfam family "tRNA". From Rfam's summary of the family: Transfer RNA (tRNA) molecules are approximately 80 nucleotides in length. Their secondary structure includes four short double-helical elements and three loops (D, anti-codon, and T loops). Lineage: Eukaryota; Metazoa; Chordata; Actinopteri; Acropomatiformes; Lateolabracidae. The record is from RNAcentral.